AGUUCUGCGUUCGUGUGAUCGUCGUGCCGAGUUUUUGUGCGGUCGACUUUUAACGCGCUGCCUCGCAUUGUGUGUAUUGUGUGUUGUAUUUCGUGGUUACUGACGUAAGCGCAACUAUACGCGGUACCAGGCAAAUAGUCACCAGAUGCCGACCGUGCGACUUCAAUCUCUGCGACUGCUUUGUUCGGUGUGACCGACGGACGCGAUUCAUAGUUUUGAAGAACACCUUCUUCAAAUGUUUCCGCACGUCAGUGAGUAGCAGCGCCGCAAUCCUUUGUCGACGACGCGUUCUGUGGCCCUGGAAAAUGCCUUGACGCUCGGGAACGGCCGGUAGCUCGGCGAUUCCUUGCUUGGCGCACCAUUGAAAACCGGCGGUCAUCCAGCAGUGUACGCUGCCAGCGUAUUUUUUAUUGCCAGAGGUAACAAACAGCAGUGCCACAACAAACAGUGGAGUGCUGACCAUGCAGUCCAGAAGGUGUCUGAGGCAAGUAUGCUAUAGGAGGUGCUUAUUCAGGCAGAAGAAAUAAGCAUCUGUAGCCAACGUAAAGGAAGCAUCUUCAAAAAGCAGUGCUACAAGGAUGUGAGCAGCAGUUUCCCUUUAACGAACGGGUCAAAUUCAUGGAAGCCACGUGCCUGCUGCUUCUGGCCUACACAAACAUGCAGCCACCAUAGUAAAGUUCUUGCAAAGACAUUCUACACGAACUUGCCCAAAGGCGGAAGGAAGGCACGCACAGAUGGACGCACAUAAAUCAUGGGGCUGCCGUAGAAGCUGUGAAUGAGCAUUAACCUGUGAGUAUGUGUCUUAAACAUUUUGCUGAAGCCUUUUAUUUUGGCUGAACAUUCUUAUCGAUGCUUUGUAUUCCCUGAUUUGUAGUGCAAUAUUGUUACACCCUGUUGCUUUCACAACAGAGCCCUUUAGUCUGGUACAAGGCCCAAAAAGUUCGACCUAGAUGACCAAAUUGCGGCAGCUAGUUGUUUCCACAAUUAAUGCAUUAGUGUAAAAAACGCAAUAGACGGAGCACAAGGAAAAGGAAGACACAA
Long non-coding RNA from Rhipicephalus sanguineus (brown dog tick), 1041 nucleotides. RefSeq lists it as uncharacterized. The transcript has 4 exons. NCBI's taxonomy places the organism in Eukaryota, Metazoa, Arthropoda, Arachnida, Ixodida, Ixodidae. The record is from RefSeq and is a predicted model, not a curated record.